UAGCACCAUUUGAAAUCGGUGUU
Molecule: microRNA, 23 nt
Filed under: Oreochromis niloticus (Nile tilapia)
Lineage: Eukaryota; Metazoa; Chordata; Actinopteri; Cichliformes; Cichlidae
Also listed under: 2 other names
Description: oni-miR-29d
Gene: oni-miR-29d
Source: miRBase by way of RNAcentral